Molecule: long non-coding RNA, 3650 nt
Filed under: Sus scrofa (pig)
Lineage: Eukaryota; Metazoa; Chordata; Mammalia; Artiodactyla; Suidae
Description: lncRNA (ENSSSCG00000058468.1)
Source: RNAcentral
UUCCCUUCCUAAAUGCAUACAAACAGAUACCCAGAACUCUGCUAAUGGAUAUUCUGAUUUAUGAGACUUAAAAUGGACACUUUCCCUAGAUAGACAUAUUCUUCUGGCUCUUGUUUUAGCUAGCAGAGGGUUGCUCCAUGACUCUCCCUUUCAAGCCCCAAAACACAGUGGUCCCCCACUCAGGCAGAGGCAGUCCUAUAUGACCCCACAUAGCUUAGCUUGUCAAGUAAAAAAUGGGCAGGAUAUCAACGCCCUCUCCCCUGCUUUGGCAGGGACUUUGGAUCAGUGAAAAACUGCACAUCUGUACACUCAAUCCUUGGGAAACUGUCUUCUUGAUAUUCUUACAUAUCUCUUUUCCCUUCCAUGUUUAAGAAUGUAUAGUUAAGAAAAAUGACCCUACCUAUAAAUAUGUACUUCAUUUCUGUUUCCAAAAAUUGCUUUCCCAGUAAUAGUAAUAAACUCAGGAGAAAAUUUACUUGGAAAUGAAUGAGAAUUUCUUGAACAUCAGAAUAACAAAAUACUGAAACAAUACCUUGGUAAAUGUAACAACAAAACACUUUACCAAACAUUGCAGCUGAAGUCUAGGUCUAAAUUAAAUAAUCUGCUUAGAUAGAUCCUUCCCUCUUAUGAUUUUGUUACCUAGAUAUACUGCAGUCUAUCACACUAUGUUAGAAAUGAGGGAGCUGUAGCUGUUUUGAAUGUGUCUGAGCUAGCUCUGGGGACAAGUGUUUUGAUUAUAGGUAAAAGGGAGAUUUUUCAAAAAAUUAAUAUCUCUAGUCUUUUGUAUAUUCUAGUGCAAUGUUAACAUUUUAUUUGGAUAAUGUCAAUCUCUGUAUUGAGUUUGUUCAGUUUUACUAUUAUAUUAAAAUGGUUUUUGGAGAGCUUUACAAUUUACAUUUUUCCUGUAAGAAAUUUAAAAGAGAGAAAAGUGCAAAAACAACUACUUGAGAUUGGAUAAGUAUAUAUGGGUGAUUUUCUGAUUAUAUUUUUAAAAUAUUUUCCCCAGAUUCAUGUACAUACCUGGAUAAACUAACUACACAUAUUUAUUAUGUAUAUUUUAAACAGGAGGAAUACCAUUAAAGUCCAUGGAGUAAAUAUAUAGUCAUUUUGUAAAUUAUUUAUCUGGAAACCUCAAGAGCUUUUUGCUGCUGUUUCAUCUGUCAGUUAAAUUUGUUUUAGUGGUAUAAGUAAUAGUUAUGUGAUAUUAUUAUACCAAGUAGCCAUGAAAAUAUGUACAAUUUACUUGUAAGAAUGAUCAAAUAAAUAAAGACAUACAGGUCUAUCCUCUCUUGAUCAAUGCAUGUAACUCAGCAAAUGCUUAUUUUUUUAUGUGAAAAUGUACACCCUAGUUUAACAUAUGCUUUUUUAUUUAUUUAAAAAUGAAUUAUAUUUAGCAUUUUUAAAGGUUGUAGGCAUUUAUAUUCUCAUACAUUCUUAACAUAAUUGAGUUUAGAGAAUUUUGUAGAUUCCUAAAACUACUUAUUAUUGAAGUAUCAUGAAAAAUAAUGAAGCAACUUAAACAUGCUUUUUAAUGCAGCAACAAAAAUACAUAGAGAUGAUGCAUUUAUAAUAAUAUGUUUUAAAUGAAUAAACUUAAGACUUAUGGGUACCCUCUUUGUUAACUUAAGAUAAAAUUUGCAAUUAUAUAUUAAAUCUUUCCCUAAAAGAUAUAAAAUUUGAGAUAUGUAACAAAUCACAGGCUCUUCUACAGAAAGCUUGUAUAAGAUAAUUUACAAAUCUGUAUUUUGACUUAGUACUUGAGCAACUAUAGAAAAUUUGUCUUGGAGUCUCAUUUCUUAUAGUUUUCCCUUUCUUACCAAAUCAUAUGAUUUUCAGGUCAGGAAGAUAGACUGAACUUACCCAGAAACAUCCCCAUUCCAAACACAGAAAUAAUAAAAUAGCUUUAAGAAGAAUCUCCAAAUACGUUAUAUAAAUGGUGAUACCAAUUACAUAGCUUGCAAUAUGAGUCUGUGGUUCAGGGGAAGAAAUGAGAACUAGAGAUGUAAAUUUGAGAAUCACCAACAAAUAAAUUCUAGUUUUAUCUAUAGAAUAGGAUUUUUAUAUAGAAAAUAAAACUUAGAGAGGAUAACAGGAGCCAGGAUGGAGGCCUGGAUUGAGCCAUAACUCUUUAACAGUUAAUGCUUAGACAGAGGAAGAGGAGGAGGAAGUACGAAGAAUAACCACAGAAACCGAAAAAGAAUAAUAACAACUGGAAUUGGAUAAAAAAAUAAAAUAGGGAGCCAUCAAAAAAAAAAAAAAAUGAAAUGUGUCUCUGCAAGAGGGCGCUUUACUAUGUCAGGGAUUCCUCAGAGGUUGAAGAGGACUGAUUACAGGGACAGAGAACUGACUAUUAGGUGUAGGAGGAUGGAAGUCAGUGGUGAAAUUUACGAGAUCCGUUUCAGUGGGUGCAGAAAGUGUAGAAAGAAGAGCAGUCAUACCCUCAAUCUUUUGUCAAUGUUCAAUACAUGGAAGAUAUAAGUAAUCAUGAAUUUGAGUGAUACCAGUUGAAAUAUAUAAUGUUAUACAUAUAUGCAAUAUAUAAUUAAUUUUGUAUAGAUGUUUGCAACUGCUUGAGUGAAAUUACACGGCGUUAGUUUGCUGGGGCUGCCAUAACAAGAUACCACAGACCAGCUGGCUAAACAUUAGAAAUUUAUUUCUCAAGGUUCUGAAGGCUGAAAGUCCAAGAUCAAGCUGUUUUGAGGGUUGAUUUCUCUUGAGGCCUCUCCCCCUGUCUUGUAGAAGUCUGCCUUCUGCGUCCUCACAGGGCCCUUUCUCUGUGCGUCCAUGUCCCUGGUGUCUUUCUCUCUUUUUAUAAGGAUAUCAGUCUUACUGGAUUAGAACCCCACCCUAUGACCUCAUUUAACCUUAACUGCUUCUUUAAAGGCCUUAUCUUCAAAUGCAGUCAUAUUGGAGGUUAUGGCUUCAAUGUAUGACUAUUGAAGGGAUACAAUUUUAGUCUAUAACCCCACAUAAUUGGUGAAUAGUUUAGCUUACUUGCAGUUGAAUAUACCCCAGUAGCAGAGAAAAGAAAGUAAAUAAAGAAGUAGAGCUUUUUGUAAUGAAUUUGACUAUAGAAUCUAAAUAUAGCAAUGGGCAAGAAAGUUUUGGUGAGCAUAAAAGAUGUUGGUUCAAUGUAUUGAAAUUCUUAAUGAAGAUAGAGAAUUGUUAGAACAGGUAGCAUUACUAUGAUAAUAACAUAUUAACAUUUACAGAAAACAUUUCCUUGUGUCAGCUAGGCUCACAGCAAUUCUGUACGGAAAAACUAUUAUUCCCAUUUUGCAGAUGAGGACACUGAGACACAAUGUGAUUGAGUAACUUGCAAAGGUCACUUAGAAAAUAAGUUAGAAUUUAAAGAAUGUCAGUCUGCUUCCAGAGACCACUCUCUUCACAUAAGCAAGAUCAUUCAGAAAAAGUGUGUAGAGAAGUUCCCAUUAUGGCUCAGCAUUAACGAACUCAGCCAAUAUCCAUGAAGACAUGGGUUUGAUCCCUGCCCUUACUCAGUGGGUUAAGGAUGUGGUGUUGUCAUGAGCUGUGGUGUAGGUCACACACACAGGUCCAAUCUGCUGUUGCUUUCGCUGCACUGUAGGCUGGCAGCUUUAGCUCCAAUUCAACCCCUAGCCUGGGAGCUUCCAUGUGCUGCAAGUGUGGCC